CACGUAGGGGGCAAGCGUUGUCCGGAAUCAUUGGGCGUAAAGAGCUCGUAGGCGGCUCAGUAAGUCGGGUGUGAAACCCUCAGGCUCAACCUGGGGACGCCACCCGAUACUGCUGUGGCUAGAGUCCAGUAGGGGAGUGUGGAAUUCCCGGUGUAGCGGUGAAAUGCGCAGAUAUCGGGAGGAACACCAGCGGCGAAGGCGGCACUCUGGGCUGGUACUGACGCUGAGGAGCGAAAGCUAGGGGAGCAAACGGG
This 254-nucleotide ribosomal RNA is filed under the name uncultured bacterium. RNAcentral describes it as "partial 16S ribosomal RNA". It matches the Rfam family "Bacterial small subunit ribosomal RNA", at positions 524 to 776 of the family's 1533-position model. The record is from RNAcentral.